This 1104-nucleotide long non-coding RNA is filed under the name Brassica napus (rape). Its description in RNAcentral is "long non-coding RNA (BNAP_LNC005691)". The record is from RNAcentral. Lineage: Eukaryota; Viridiplantae; Streptophyta; Magnoliopsida; Brassicales; Brassicaceae.
UUAUCGGCUAAGACGUUAAGCCGUUGCCUCAUAUUACAAAAUCUCGCUGAAAGAUGCUCUGCCACUUUCUCUUUCCACUCAUAGUUGAAAAAGCAGGCAAUAUGAAGAAACAAAUCUUUAUUUUCUUGAGAUAAUGCGUUAUAACCGAACAUCAAAAUGCUCUCAAUUUCUCCAUCAAGGCAUCUCCAUAGCUCUGGUAGUUCAUUCUCCCACUCCUGCUUGGACAUUCCACGAAAAUGAGAUCCCAUAACCCUUAGUCCCAAAGGGAGUUUACCGGCGAGUCUUGUAACUUCCCAUACGAGGUUCUCAAAACCAUCUUCAGGGGACUUUUGACCAAAAGCAUACAUACAAAACAUCUGAAUAGCCUCACGAUUUGAUGGAAAAUCAACCUUGUAAAUAUGAGUGAUCCCAUGUGCCUUCAAAAUCUUUCGAUCUUGCGUUGUAAUCAUCGCCUCCACUGAACAUUAUGCCAAUAACAUUUCCACUACCCUGAAAACAGAACCAAAAAUAAGGUAGAGAUGAUUGCAGUUUAUCAAACAGACUCAGUUUGUAACUGCAAUAAAUCACUAAAAGAAAAACUUACCGCUGCAUCAUCAGCAAGUACUUCACAAGUCUCUCUUUCAUCGACCAGAAACCGGCGUUGUCCAGGCUCACUGGACUGUUUGCGGACAAUAUCUCUACCCAGCUGGACUAGCAGAUCAUGCAUACUCACACGUUCACUUUCCAAAGAUAUGAGAGACUUAUCGGCUAAGACGUUAAGCCGUUGCCUCAUAUUACAAAAUCUCGCUGAAAGAUGCUCUGCCACUUUCUCUUUCCACUCAUAGUUGAAAAAGCAGGCAAUAUGAAGAAACAAAUCUUUAUUUUCUUGAGAUAAUGCGUUAUAACCGAACAUCAAAAUGCUCUCAAUUUCUCCAUCAAGGCAUCUCCAUAGCUCUGGUAGUUCAUUCUCCCACUCCUGCUUGGACAUUCCACGAAAAUGAGAUCCCAUAACCCUUAGUCCCAAAGGGAGUUUACCGGCGAGUCUUGUAACUUCCCAUACGAGGUUCUCAAAACCAUCUUCAGGGGACUUUUGACCAAAAGCAUACAUACAAAACAUCUGAAUAG